CGGGUCCCCUCGCAUGCGCGUCCCGGAAACCUGGUCAGGUCGGGAACGAAGCAGCCAUACCGGUGUGCGUGCAGUGCCGAGGACAAGGCUCG
This 92-nucleotide signal recognition particle RNA is filed under the name uncultured Sutterella sp. RNAcentral describes it as "Bacterial small signal recognition particle RNA". It matches the Rfam family "Bacterial small signal recognition particle RNA". Rfam says of the family: The signal recognition particle (SRP) is a universally conserved ribonucleoprotein involved in the co-translational targeting of proteins to membranes. Archaeal SRP consists of a 7S RNA and homologues of the eukaryotic SRP19 and SRP54 proteins. Lineage: Bacteria; Pseudomonadati; Pseudomonadota; Betaproteobacteria; Burkholderiales; Sutterellaceae. The record is from RNAcentral.